CUUAUACUCUGACACAGUACAGCCUGCAAGGAUCAUGCUUACAAGGAGUAGAAAUGUGUACAUGAUGAAUUAUUGAGGUAAAAUGAAUAUUUUUGUUACUAAAUAUGGAGGAAACAUAAGUUUAUAUUAUAGUACUUAUGGUAAUAAUCCUCCCCUAUCAAAAUCUCCAUAGAUCCAAGUGCUGUCAGAAUACUAAUUUGUGGCCUUGUUUAUUUAAAAGGUUGCCACUUCCCAUGCAGAACUACCACUGGUAUUUUGUUACUGCAGUAGUUGGAAAUAAAAUUUGAAACUGACCAAAGCAUGAAUUAUUAUUUUUUUUCUUGGUUCUAAAUUUGGGAUGUAGUAUUUCCUAUAAUAUGGUCAAAGCAGAUUUUUUUCUCUGGAGCCUCCAUUGUCUGUUUUUGUUUUAAAGGUGUUAGUGAGACCCUUCCUUGGCAAGCAGGAGUACCACUGAUUUGUUUGUGAGGAUUUGUUUCAUUUUGUAAGUAGAGGGUAGGUUUAAUUUUCAGGUGAGGUUUUGCUGGGAAGCUGCUGGUCACCUAAGUGAGGUGGAAGGGAGCAAGCCAGCCAGUAGCAUCCAGGGAAAGGAGAGGUUAGAGAAAACUCAGGCGGUGUGAAAAUGAGCAAAUGAAACGGUGUCGCUACACAGUCCUGGCUUUCUUGAAAGACACUUUUGCAGAAAAGUACUUACUCUAGUGGCUGUUUUGUCUUAAAGAGGUUUUAUAAGUUAUUCAAACAACUGGCUUUCUCAUUAAGACAAGAGGAUGAUUUCACAACCUAGUAACUCACCACAAUGCUUAAAAAAAG
RNAcentral lists this long non-coding RNA (807 nucleotides) under Bos taurus (domestic cattle). Its description in RNAcentral is "long non-coding RNA NONBTAT025395". The record is from RNAcentral. Lineage: Eukaryota; Metazoa; Chordata; Mammalia; Artiodactyla; Bovidae.